RNAcentral lists this transfer RNA (76 nucleotides) under Chloroflexota bacterium. RNAcentral describes it as "Chloroflexi bacterium (sediment metagenome) tRNA-Arg". It matches the Rfam family "tRNA". Rfam says of the family: Transfer RNA (tRNA) molecules are approximately 80 nucleotides in length. Their secondary structure includes four short double-helical elements and three loops (D, anti-codon, and T loops). The record is from RNAcentral. Lineage: Bacteria; Bacillati; Chloroflexota.
GCCCCCGUAGCUCAACGGACAGAGCAGAGGUCUUCUAAACCUAAGGUUGUGGGUUCGAGUCCCGCCGGGGGCGCCU